This is a non-coding RNA of Cajanus cajan (pigeon pea), 627 nucleotides long. NCBI's taxonomy places the organism in Eukaryota, Viridiplantae, Streptophyta, Magnoliopsida, Fabales, Fabaceae. The record is from RefSeq and is a predicted model, not a curated record.
AUUGAAUUCUGACAACUACAUUACUCUCUAUUAAUUGUUUCAUUUUGUAGCUCAAGAACAUCUCAAGACCUGAUAUUAUCAGAAUUGAAUUACAAGCCAGGCACUCCUGUCUCUCCUGUUGCUCCUAUCACAUUCCUUUAUGAUCCCGUGAAAUCCAAGGUAAUACUGAGGACCAGCUCCCUCACCGAGACAAGGGAUUUCAACAUCAACAAAAUUGCUGAGUUCACAAAGCCAGUUUUUGGUACUGGCUUUGGGGCCUCUAUGAUAGAUAAGCAUAAUAUUCACUACAAAUAGUCUUUACACAAUGGCUCAACACAUAAAGUUGAGGUAUUAGUAUUAUUUCAUUAUGAUUCAAGUAAUGUAAGAAUUCCUAACUUCGUUCCUUGUUGGUUAAAGGAACUAUCAAGAGCUUUAUACUCACUGACUCUCUAAGCAGUAACAAAGGAGGUCAGUUACCAUUCCUGCAGGGAAGGUAACUGAUAUUUCAGAAAAUGAAAAUUUGGCAUCUAACCAGAUUGAUCAGAUAACCAAAAGGCCCGUGUCAAAUAGGAGACAUACAUGAGGUUCCUCCAUGGGAGACAAUUCUCUUUCAAUCAAAUAGGAAUACUAUUGACAAUAAAAUUUUUC